Molecule: ribosomal RNA, 440 nt
Filed under: uncultured bacterium
Lineage: Bacteria
Description: partial 16S ribosomal RNA
Rfam family: Bacterial small subunit ribosomal RNA
Source: RNAcentral
CCUACGGGUGGCAGCAGUGGGGGAUAUUGCACAAUGGGGGAAACCCUGAUGCAGCGACGCCGCGUGAGCGAUGAAGUAUUUCGGUAUGUAACGCUCUAUCAGCAGGGAAGAAAAUGACAGUACCUGACUCAGACGCCCCGGCUAACUACGUGCCAGCAGCCGCGGUAAUCCGUAGGCGGCAAGCGUUAUCCGGAUUUACUGGGUGUAAAGGGAGCGUAGACGGCAGUGCAAGUAUGAAGUGAACGGCAAGGGCUCAACCCUUGUACUGCUUUUGAACCGGGGCUGCUGGAGUGUCGGAGAGGCAAGUGGAAUUCGUAGUGUAGCGGUGAAAUGCGUAGAUAUUAGGAGGAACACCAGUGGCGAAGGAGGCUUGCUGGACGAUGACUGACGUUGAGGCUCGAAAGCGUGGGGAGCAAACAGGAUUAGAUACCCUUGUAGUC